This 508-nucleotide long non-coding RNA is filed under the name Homo sapiens (human). RNAcentral describes it as "HSALNT0010832". Lineage: Eukaryota; Metazoa; Chordata; Mammalia; Primates; Hominidae. The record is from RNAcentral.
GGCCCAGAUCUCCUGAGAAUGUGUGACUCUACUGAAAGAUGCCUCAGUCUGUUAAUAAGGGAAAUUAUUGAGGAAAUGGAGGAAAAGGAGGAGGAAAUGGAGAGAGUCAGUUCAGAAAACAUGGCCACUCAAGAGAAGCUACAGGCAUAUGAUGUGCUGCCAGAAUUUCUAAGUUUCCAGUUCUUUGGGGAGCUCAAGAUUUUGGAAUAGCUGGGAUAAAAAGAGAAAUCUCUUUCAAGCUGAGUGAAAAGCCCACUCUAGCUCUCCUGAAGAGACAGGAAGAGAAAAGUGGGGCAGAGAACCCAUCGGCAAAGCUCUGGGCUUGGGGCACAGGGUCUCUGUGACAUCCUGGGCACCUUCACUGUGGCCAGUGAGGAGGAAGUUCUGCCCCAGCCGGCCUGCGGGGACUAUGGGGCAAGGGAGGAGCUCUUCCUCUAGAAAUACAGCAGCCUCACCCUUGUGGGGUAGCUGUUUCAGGCACCAGAAGGACUCAGCCCAUGGACUCCGG